AGUAGGGAAUAUUGGACAAUGGGUGCGAGCCUGAUCCAGCCAUGCCGCGUGCAGGAAGAAGGCUUUCUGAGUUGUAAACUGCUUUUGCCAGGGGAUAAAAUGACCGUGCGCGGUUAAUUGAAGGUACCUGGUGAAUAAGCCACGGCUAACUACGUGCCAGCAGCCGCGGUAAUACGUAGGUGGCAAGCGUUGUCCGGAUUUAUUGGGUUUAAAGGGUGCGUAGGCGGUUCCAUAAGUCAGUGGUGAAAUCCGGCAGCUUAACUGUCGAUGUGCCAUUGAUACUGCGGAACUUGAGUACAGACGAGGUAGGCGGAAUUGACGGUGUAGCGGUGAAAUGCUUAGAUAUCGUCAAGAACACCGAUAGCGAAGGCAGCUUACUAGGCUGUAACUGACGCUGAGGCACGAAAGUGUGGGGAUCAAA
Molecule: ribosomal RNA, 421 nt
Filed under: uncultured Cytophagaceae bacterium
Lineage: Bacteria; Pseudomonadati; Bacteroidota; Cytophagia; Cytophagales; Cytophagaceae
Description: bacterial SSU rRNA
Rfam family: Bacterial small subunit ribosomal RNA
Source: RNAcentral